This is a regulatory RNA element of Flavobacteria bacterium BAL38, 32 nucleotides long. It matches the Rfam family "DUF805b RNA". Rfam says of the family: Bacteroidetes, Chlorobi (1 example), Proteobacteria. Lineage: Bacteria; Pseudomonadati; Bacteroidota; Flavobacteriia; Flavobacteriales. The record is from Rfam.
AUGGUGUAUUCCGAAAAACCAAAGAGUAGGAA